Molecule: long non-coding RNA, 2050 nt
Organism: Pieris napi
Lineage: Eukaryota; Metazoa; Arthropoda; Insecta; Lepidoptera; Pieridae
Exons: 3
Source: RefSeq, a predicted model, not a curated record
UUAUGAAAUGUCAGAAUUCUACGGAAUGAAAAAUCAAAGUUUAAUUCAUGGAUUAGUUUAAGUUGUAUUCGAUAUCUUUAAUCAAUAUAUUUUAUAUUGUAGGUGUCUUUGAAAUGGUUCUUUAAUUUGAAAAAAUACAUUAACUAACAUAUGUGAAAGCAGUCACUUAUGAACUUAAUUAGAUGUUUUAAAUAUAUUAUUGUAAUUAUAUUAGAAGGUAAUGAUAUAAUAUUGAUAUAAAUUUAUUAAAUCAAGUGGAUGUUUGCUUCAUGAACUUUGGAAAUAUAAAAUCCAGUAAACAAUACUAAGUAAUGAAAAAGAGAAUAUACAGUCAAAAUCGUUUACGACUACUAAAUGAUGUAGUGUAGAUGUAGAUGAACAAAAUUCCAGUUAUAUUGACCAAAAUCAAAGGUCCUGGCUGAAUUCUAUUUGACUGCCUUAUAAAAAACACUGCUUUUUAUGACAUCGCUUCUUACAACAUAUCUCUUUAAGCAACUACAUUAAACUGAUAUUUUCGGAGAAUUAUAUCUGUUAGAACAACCAGCCAUUGUAAACAUUUGAAUGGGUGAGGGCAGUAUCCCCUUUCCACAUCUGGCACACUAAAGUGAUUAAGAUCGCCAAAGUAAACAAAAAUAUCUCCAGUUUAGGGUCUAUUGUAUUUCUCAGAAACAAUAUAGGUACACAUGUAUGCAGUAUAAUCGAAGCGCAAAGCCCACUUUUUCAUUUCCCCUUAAUCAGUUUGUUACUUAUCUGAACACUAGAAGCACAAUACGUAUUGUUGAAUUAAUGUGAAACUUAACAUGUCGCAAGGAAAAAGAAAACAAAUUACUAUAGAAGAAAAAUCAUGUAUUAUUUCAAAGCUUGAGAGUGGAAUUUCAAACAAAGACUUAGCCGCGGAAUAUGGUGUAUCACACUCAACAAUUUCAACCAUUUGGAAAGAGAGAGAAAAAAUUCAAACACUUUUUGAGAACAAUUUAUUAAAAAUGAAAAGAGCAAGAACGACGAAGCAUACGAAAAUUGACGAAGCUUUGCUAAAGUGGUUUAAAUAUCAGAGGACAAAUAAUUUGCCAAUAAAUGGACCAAUUCUUCAACAAAAAGCAAACGAUUUUGCUCAGCAUUUUGGUGAAGAUUUCGUUUGCUCGUCCAGUUGGAUUCAACGUUUCCGGGCUAGGCACGGUAUCGUCGGCGGGAAAAUGAGUGGUGAAGCAGCCAGUGCCACACCUGAUUUAUCUACUACUGAAGCAGAGGAGCUUAUUGAUGUGGGUGCAAUGUGUGUACCAGCUAUGGAAGAAGAUAUUGUACAAGAAGUUCAAGUGAAUAGUGACGAACAGGACGAGACUGAAGAACAAUUUACAGUGCCAACUUUGUAUGAUGGUCUCAAUGCUGUCAAUGUAUUAAGAAAAAUUUUUCUUUUUAAAAAACACUUUCACUUGCAGGGAAAUUAUGACAAUACUUUAAUUAAAAUUCAGCGUGAAUUACAAACUGCGUACGUACUACAGAAGUGUUUCAAAUAAACUAAAAUAACAGAUUUUGUUAAGGUAGAAAAUGAUAAUUAUAUGUAGUAUGUUUUUGGAAUACUUGGCGUCGACAUAUCAAACGACGUUCAGUUUCGCGGUCACUUGCUUAGCAAGGAGAGACGGUACUUCACUCCGGGCCACCGCUUGCAACUAUAGAAAGCGCAAAUUCUGCCCCACAUGGAUUACUGUUCACACCUCUGGGCGGGGGUCCCCAGUACCAGCUCCUUCCACUUGACCGUAUUCAACGAAGAGCGGUUCGAAUUGUCGACGACCAAUCCCUCUCCGAGCGGCUUGAUCCUUUGGCGUUGCGUAUAAAUGUGGGGUCACUUUGCAUGUUCUAACGCAUUUACCAUGGAGAGUGUUCAGAGGAGUUGUUCGGAUUAAUACCUGCAGCUGAGUUUCAUCAUCGGAUGUCAUCGAAUGAGUGUUUAUCAAGGCAGUUUUUGCCGCGCACCACCACUUUGUGGAACCAGCUGCCCACUGAAGUAUUUCCGAACCAAUUCGACUUUGGGUCCUUCAAGAAAAGAGCGUAC